This 185-nucleotide unclassified non-coding RNA is filed under the name soil metagenome. RNAcentral's name for it is "partial internal transcribed spacer 1". The record is from RNAcentral.
CAAAAGGAGUAUUCACGUACUCUUCAACCCUUUGUAAACGUACCAUUGUCUGUUGCUUCGGCGGGAGGCCCCUGGGAGAGGGGCCCCGGGGCCCGGUCCUGAGCCGGGCUCCCGCCGGAGGAGCGCAAACCAAACUAUUGUUGUAUCUCAGUGGCACAUCCGAGUCAAAAUAUAAAAACAAGUUA